RNAcentral lists this non-coding RNA (23 nucleotides) under Cricetulus griseus (Chinese hamster). Lineage: Eukaryota; Metazoa; Chordata; Mammalia; Rodentia; Cricetidae. The record is from RNAcentral.
UCUGUUCGAGGAUGCAUCGUGGA